UCAAAUUUGAAAUCUGGCUUCGGCCCGAGUUGUAAUUUGCAGAGGAUGUUUCUGGCGCGGUGCCUUCCGAGUUCCCUGGAACGGGACGCCACAGAGGGUGAGAGCCCCGUAUGGUUGGACACCAAGCCUGUGUGAAACUCCUUCGACGAGUCGAGUAGUUUGGGAAUGCUGCUCUAAAUGGGAGGUAAAUCUCUUCUAAAGCUAAAUACCGGCCAGAGACCGAUAGCGCACAAGUAGAGUGAUCGAAAGAUGAAAAGCACCUUGAAAAGGGGGUUAAAUAGUACGUGAAAUUGUUGAAAGGGAAGCACUUAUGACCAGACUUGGGCCGGGCGGCUCAUCAGGGGUUCUCCCCUGUGCACUCCGCCCGGCACAGGCCAGCAUCGGUUCUCGUGGGGGGAUAAGACCGUUAGGAACGUAGCACCCUCCGGGGUGUGUUAUAGCCUGGCGGACGAUACCCCCGUGGGGACCGAGGUCCGCGCUCCGCAAGGAUGCUGGCGUAAUGGUCAUCAGUGACCCGUCUUGAAACACGGACCAAGGAGUCGUCCAUUAGAGCGAGCGUUUGGGUGUAAAACCCGCACGCGUAAUGAAAGUGAACGCAGGUGAGAGCUUCGGCGCAUCAUCGACCGAUCCUGAUGUUCUCGGAAGGAUUUGAGUAAGAGUUUUAACGGACGGACCCGAAAGACAGUGAACUAUGCUUGUAUAGGGUGAAGCCAGAGGAAACUCUGGUGGAGGCUCGCAGCGGUUCUGACCGU
Molecule: ribosomal RNA, 752 nt
Filed under: Diaporthe sp.
Lineage: Eukaryota; Fungi; Ascomycota; Sordariomycetes; Diaporthales; Diaporthaceae
Description: partial large subunit ribosomal RNA
Rfam family: Eukaryotic large subunit ribosomal RNA
Source: RNAcentral